RNAcentral lists this ribosomal RNA (519 nucleotides) under uncultured bacterium. RNAcentral describes it as "bacterial SSU rRNA". It matches the Rfam family "Bacterial small subunit ribosomal RNA", at positions 355 to 892 of the family's 1533-position model. The record is from RNAcentral.
UGGGGAAUCUUGGACAAUGGGGGCAACCCUGAUCCAGCCAUGCCGCGUGAGUGAUGAAGGCCUUAGGGUCGUAAAGCUCUUUCGCCUGUGAAGAUAAUGACGGUAGCAGGUAAAGAAACCCCGGCUAACUCCGUGCCAGCAGCCGCGGUAAUACGGAGGGGGUUAGCGUUGUUCGGAAUUACUGGGCGUAAAGCGCACGUAGGCGGACCAGAAAGUUGGGGGUGAAAUCCCGGGGCUCAACCCCGGAACUGCCUCCAAAACUAUUGGUCUAGAGUUCGAGAGAGGUGAGUGGAAUUCCAAGUGUAGAGGUGAAAUUCGUAGAUAUUUGGAGGAACACCAGUGGCGAAGGCGGCUCACUGGCUCGAUACUGACGCUGAGGUGCGAAAGUGUGGGGAGCAAACAGGAUUAGAUACCCUGGUAGUCCACACCGUAAACGAUGAAUGCCAGUCGUCGGGUAGCAUGCUAUUCGGUGACACACCUAACGGAUUAAGCAUUCCGCCUGGGGAGUACGGUCGCAAG